RNAcentral lists this ribosomal RNA (554 nucleotides) under uncultured bacterium. RNAcentral's name for it is "bacterial SSU rRNA". It matches the Rfam family "Bacterial small subunit ribosomal RNA", at positions 777 to 1345 of the family's 1533-position model. The record is from RNAcentral.
AAUAGAUACCCCGGUAGUCCACGCCGUAAACGAUGGAUGCUAGCUGUUAUGCGUAUCGACCCGUGUAGUAGCGAAGCUAACGCGUUAAGCAUCCCGCCUGGGGAGUACGAACGCAAGUUUAAAACUCAAAGGAAUUGACGGGGACCCGCACAAGCGGUGGAGCGUGUUCUUUAAUUCGAGGCUAAGCGAAGAACCUUACUAGGGCUUGACAUCCUUGGAAUUUCUCCGAAAGGAGAGAGUACUUUAUUGGACCAAGUGACAGGUGCUGCAUGGCCGUCGUCAGCUCGUGUCGUGAGAUGUUUGGUUAAGUCCAUUAACGAGCGCAACCCUUAUGAAUAGUUGUAUUUUUCUAUUCAGACUGCCCCGGUAACGGGGAGGAAGGGGGGAUGAUGUCAGGUCAGUAUUGCCCUUACGCCCUGGGCUAGAAACGCGCUACAAUGGCCGGUACAAUGCGCUGCCAACCCGCGAGGGGGAGCAAAUCGCAUCAAAGCCGGUCCCAGUUCGGAUAAGAGGCUGAAACUCGCCUCUUUGAAGCCGGAAUCGCUAGUAAUCGU